RNAcentral lists this long non-coding RNA (214 nucleotides) under Vulpes vulpes (red fox). RNAcentral describes it as "lncRNA (ENSVVUG00000021276.1)". The record is from RNAcentral. Lineage: Eukaryota; Metazoa; Chordata; Mammalia; Carnivora; Canidae.
AAAAAACAGUGGCUUUUUCUGCUAACCCUCUCAAGCAAUCAGAUAAGUAACUCAAAAUGAGGACCCAUGGGGAGAAUUGGCAAAUGAGAAGAGAGAAGAAUGGAGAAGUGGAAAGAAAUUUCAUCAGAAAGGCAUCUGUUGGGUAUUCUGGAAACCAGUGAUGUCUCAGUGAACAGAGACCAGAAUCCUUCCAUGGUGGAUUUUAACAUCUCUG